This is a long non-coding RNA of Rosa rugosa (rugosa rose), 1378 nucleotides long. RefSeq lists it as uncharacterized. NCBI's taxonomy places the organism in Eukaryota, Viridiplantae, Streptophyta, Magnoliopsida, Rosales, Rosaceae. The transcript is spliced from 5 exons. The record is from RefSeq and is a predicted model, not a curated record.
GUUGUAAAGAAUAUCUCAGCAGGAAAGGUUGUAAAGAAUAUGAUUACUAUCUGGGUGGACUCCUUGUUCAUUUUUAUUCACCAAUAAAUUGUCUUCUUUCUUAUUUGAAGAUAAGUACGUAUAAUUUUCUAUAUUUUUCAGAAACCUUAUUGCUUCAUAUAUUCUGCAUCUUAUCUGCAUAGGCAAAGGCUCUUUGUGGUGGUUGGUGGAGGAGCUGUAGGUUUUGCUGCAAUCUGAGGGAUUGGUAGUGUGCUUAUGUGGAAUUCAUUGGAAUUAAGUGGACUUGAGAAGUAUUAGUACACUUUGUUACUAAUUUGAAUUGCUGAUUGGAAGACCUUUCCAACCAGAGCUUAAUCCGGCUAUUCUUGCUUCUAAAAUGCCCUUGAGGUGGAGUCUUUGUAUGAGCUAUAUAUAUAAGAAACUAAGCAGCUCUGUAGUUAAAGAUGGCUUAUACACAAGGUGUGUGCUUCCUCCUAGUACUGUUCUAGCUCUUUGAAGUUUAUAAAAUAUGUAUCUCAUAUGAAUUAUGUUUGAAAACUUGAUUACUAACUACUUUGAGGUUACUUGAAUAACAACUGAGUUGCUCUGCUAUUCAACUCAAAAUCAGUUGCAAUGUAACUCUCUCCACAGUUCCCAGUACCCAUUGCCAUUUAAUUUAAGGUUGAGUACAUUAAUUCUUGUGAGUACUCACAAUUUACACAAUUUUUGUGAGUAUUCAUUAUAGUGUUCAGGUGUAUAGGAGACCAAAUAUUAUAAUUUACAAUUUUUGUAUCUCCCCUUUAUCUGUUUCUUGUAAUAACAUUCUUGUAAUAGCUCUUCUUUUCAUUACGUAACAACACUGAUGUUGCUCUUGUGUCGGGGUGCUCGACAUUACCUACCUUGUGCUCGUGCUGCAAUAAAAUACAUCAUUCUGGCUAUCUCUGGUCAUAUGGAUGAUAUCCUGGGAAAGUAUAAGGAACUUAAACACAGGAUACUGUUUCUUUUAGAGAUGCUAGAGCCAUUCCUUGAUCCCGCUAUAGGCAGAUUCAAGGAUAAAAUAGCCUUUGGAGAUCUAUCUUGUGCAUAUCCAGAAACACAGGAACGGAAUUGUGCUAUUGCUAUUAAUGUGAUCUGUACAGCAGUGCAGAAACCAGCAGUUCUUCCUUCACUAGAAUCUGAAUGGAGGCGUGGAUCAGUUGCUCCUAGGUAAUACAUGGUUGUAUUAUUCCAGAUCUUCUCUUGUGACUUUCUGAGCAGAUAUAGACCUUUCCGUAGUGGCCUUGCAAAUUUGAGAAAUACUUGGGUGAGAAGGACCUAUGAUGUUAAUUUACAUAUGUUUGAGUGUAUAGGAGACCAAAUAUUAAAAGGCCUAGAAAGGCUUUUAUUUGCAAAUUUAUAU